UGGGCUAGAAUGCUGGAUGCCCGUGGGUGAAAGCUCAUUUUGUAGCAAUACACAUCCAGUAAGGUGCUGCAUGGCUGUCGUCAGCUCGUGCCGUGAGGUGUUGGGUUAAGUCCCGCAACGAGCGCAACCCCCAUCAUUAGUUGCCAUCAGGUCAAGCUGGGAACUCUAAUGAAACUGCCGUCGUAAGACGCGAGGAAGGAGGGGAUGAUGUCAAGUCAUCAUGGCCUUUAUGCCCAGGGCUACACACGUGCUACAAUGGGAAGGACAAAGGGCUGCCACCUGGUGACAGGGAGCUAAUCUCAAAAACCUUCUCUCAGUUCAGAUCGCAGUCUGCAACUCGACUGCGUGAAGCUGGAAUCGCUAGUAAUCGUAUAUCAGCAAUGAUACGGUGAAUACGUUCCCGGACC
Molecule: ribosomal RNA, 407 nt
Filed under: uncultured bacterium
Lineage: Bacteria
Description: bacterial SSU rRNA
Rfam family: Bacterial small subunit ribosomal RNA
Source: RNAcentral